This is a long non-coding RNA of Suricata suricatta (meerkat), 582 nucleotides long. RefSeq lists it as uncharacterized. The record is from RefSeq and is a predicted model, not a curated record. The transcript has 2 exons. Lineage: Eukaryota; Metazoa; Chordata; Mammalia; Carnivora; Herpestidae.
CUUCCUCAGUCACCCACUAUCAGCUGCUGUGGCCUUACGCUUCCCCUCCUCCCCAGGUGAAUUGGGGAGGAAAUGUCUGGUGCCCCCAGGGCUUCGGAGAUGGAACAAAGUCACCCCCUUUGGGAAACCUAGCCUAAGAGCCUGGAAGAAGCUCAUCAGGGACCUGGUCAAACUUUAAUGCCCAGGAGAGAUGGCCUCUGGAGCAUGGACACUGGUGGCAGAAGCAUGAAUCAUUCUGACCAUAGGCCCACAACCUCCAGACUCGAGCUUUCCGUGGCACUUUCUACAGUGAUGCCAGCUUCUCUGCUUCUGUGGGGUAUAGCUGUGUGACCCUGCAGGACAUAAACAGAAAUAGUGUGUAUGAUUUCGGGGAGCUGUCAUUAAAAGGAGGGACCAUACCCUUCUUUUCUCCUUUCUGCUUCCAGCUGGUUGAAAUGCAGAGGUAAUGGUUAGAACUUCAACAACUACUCUGGACGAUGAAGUAACCUUGGAAAUGGAGUCCAGAUGGGUGAAGCAACAAGAAAGAAAAUACCUGGUCACUGAUGGACCUCAGCACAAAUUAAAUAUGUUCCAUAUAGUGUC